AACCUCCGCAAUGUGAGAAAUCGCGACGGGGGGAUCCCAAGUGCCAUUCUUAACGGGAUGGCUUUUCAUUAGUGUAAAGAGCUUUUGGAAUAAGAGCUGGGCAAGACCGGUGCCAGCCGCCGCGGUAACACCGGCAGCUCUAGUGGUAACAAUUUUUAUUGGGCCUAAAGCGUUCGUAGCCGGUUUGAUAAGUCUCUGGUGAAAUCCUGUAGCUUAACUGUGGGAAUUGCUGGUGAUACUGUUGAACUUGAGGUCGGGAGAGGUUAGCGGUACUCCCAGGGUAGAGGUGAAAUUCUGUAAUCCUGGGAGGACCACCUGUGGCGAAGGCGGCUAACUGGAACGAACCUGACGGUGAGGGACGAAAGCUAGGGGCGCGAACCGGAUUAGAUACCCGGGUAGUCCUAACUGUAAACGAUGCGGACUUGGUGUUGGGGUGGCUUUGAGCUGCUUCAGUGCCGAAGGAAGCUGUUAAGUCCGCCGCCUGGGAAGUACGGUCGCAAGACUGAAACUUAAAGGAAUU
RNAcentral lists this ribosomal RNA (520 nucleotides) under uncultured bacterium. RNAcentral describes it as "bacterial SSU rRNA". It matches the Rfam family "Archaeal small subunit ribosomal RNA", at positions 345 to 866 of the family's 1478-position model. The record is from RNAcentral.